RNAcentral lists this transfer RNA (117 nucleotides) under Triticum urartu. It matches the Rfam family "tRNA". From Rfam's summary of the family: Transfer RNA (tRNA) molecules are approximately 80 nucleotides in length. Their secondary structure includes four short double-helical elements and three loops (D, anti-codon, and T loops). Further hydrogen bonds mediate the characteristic L-shaped molecular structure. tRNAs have two regions of fundamental functional importance: the anti-codon, which is responsible for specific mRNA codon recognition, and the 3' end, to which the tRNAs corresponding amino acid is attached (by aminoacyl-tRNA synthetases). tRNAs cope with the degeneracy of the genetic code in two manners: having more than one tRNA (with a specific anti-codon) for a particular amino acid; and 'wobble' base-pairing, i.e. permitting non-standard base-pairing at the 3rd anti-codon position. Lineage: Eukaryota; Viridiplantae; Streptophyta; Magnoliopsida; Poales; Poaceae. The record is from Rfam by way of RNAcentral.
GGGCUAUUAGCUCAGUGGUAGAGCGCGCCCCUGAUAAUUGCGUCGUUGUGCCUGGGCUGUGAGGAAGAAUUAUCUACUCCAUCCGACUAGUUCCGGGUUCGAGUCCCGGGCAACCCA